UUUUAUAUUUAACUAGGUUACGUUUUUUAUUAAAAGAAUUUCAAAGGAAAGCAAAAGGGAAAAUAUUUGUAUUAUAAUAUAAGAAAACAUGUCUGUAAUUUGUAUAAUAUGCCAUCAAAAAUUUGAAGAGAUAAUAACGAAUUCCUUUUUUAAUCCAGUCUACGAAGGGCUUAGUAUAUCUAGUAUAUUAAACUCUGUAUCAACACUACAGAUAGAAGAGAAUAACAAAGAGUCAAGCAAUAUUUGCCAAGAAUGUACAAGCGUAAUUAUAAGUUUCUACAAAUUAAUUAAGUCAUAUAAAAGUAGAGAAGCUGCGUUAAAUGAAGCAUCCAAACAAGAACAUUACUUUUUAGAGGAUCAAGACUAUGAUAAUUAUGUUGAAUGUGAAACAGAAUCUUACAAAGAAAACAGUGAUCACGAUGACAAUCAAAAAACAACACACACGGAAGAUUGGGCGGAAGAUCAAAUUCAGCAAGACCUAGAAUCAAAAUAUCCAAAGAUUAAAGAAGGUUCUCCUGAACCUGAAGAAAAUGUUAAACCAAAAUAUGAUGAAUUUGGCAAUCAGGAAAUAUCUUCUGUAAAAUACACUUGCAAUGAAUGUGGAGAUUCAUUUUUAUAUAAAGUAGGAUUUAGCUCACAUAUGGUUCAAAAACACAGUAUAUACAUCGAAAAUCACAUGUAUCCUCAAUACAGUACACAAAUAACAGUUAAAAUACCUGCUCCUAAGGGCAUUACUUUUGCAAGGAAGUACCAUAAUAAAAAGAAUAUUAGACUACUGACUGAAACGUUUCAAUGCCAAAUAUGUAAAGAGCAUUCGAAGUCAGCUGAUGAAUUAAAAGAACAUUAUAACACGCACAAGACUCAUAUUUGCGAACACUGCGGAGCAGCGUUCUUAAAACAUUCUUACCUAAGGGAACACCUUGUAGCUCAUACCACAGAAAGACGAUAUCCAUGCGAUAUCUGUGGGAAGAAAUUUAAGUAUAGAAACGGAUUAUCUGUUCACAGAAAUAUUCACGUAAACUUCAGGGGUUUUAUGUGUGAAACUUGUGGAAAAGGCUUUAAUGCUAGAAGUACUCUCAAAACACAUAUGAAGUUAAAGCAUACAAACGAAAGAAACUAUCCAUGUCCACAAUGUGAUUUAUCCUUUAAAGUCAAGUCUUGGUUGGAUAAACAUUAUUCAAGGAAACAUACUUUAAAUAGAACUAAAGAUUUCAUAUGUAACGUAUGUGGUAUGGCAUACUUAAAUAAAACAACUUUGACAAGACAUAUGUCAGAAAAGCAUACUGGUACACCUGUAAGACAUUAUUGUACAAUUUGUGAGAAAAGUUAUAGUAUGAAAAACAAAUUAAGUUUACACCAACAGAAAAAACACGGAAUUAUUUUAAAUACCCCAUCCCAAGUUUUAUUAUAACAUAUUUAAUUAGUAAGUUUUAUCUGGACUUAUAAUGUGGCUAAAAUAAAUUGAACCGUGAGAUGUGUAAUAACUUUUAGAGAGUGAAUGCAUAAUGUGCUUCAUUGAUCAAUGUUGCAGCAACUUAAUAAAAAAGUUUAAACUUUGAUAUAAACAUCCAGCCAAAUUUAAAGGAAAGCAGGUAUGUAGUUAAAACCAGGGAUCAUCCAAUUUAUCAUCAAAUUAACAAAAAAUGUGUAUUUACAAUUAACUGUGACUUAAACAACAAAUUAAAAUUUUCUGAAAAACAAGUGAAGAUAGCAGUCAAUUUGAGUCAAUUUUUGACUUUGCGUCAAUUAUUGUAGUACAGUGGAACCCCGAUAAGUCGGCCCCCGAUAACCCGGAAGUCCGGCUAACCCGGACCGAUUUUCAUCAGACAAAAAUUUAACAAAUAAACAAUUUAACAAUUUUAUCAAAUAAAAAUGUAUGUAGGUCAAAUAAUAUUUGAGAGAUAAUGUGUAUUUGUGUAAUUUGAACACAUAUAAGUAUGUACAACAGUAAAAAUGAUUCAUGCACACGGCGGCAGGCAGAGCGACCGUCUCAGCUUAUCGGAAAGAACAGGCACCUGUCUGUAUUCCUUUUCCGUUAUUUAUGUCAAACUGUCUUAGCAUUGUUUAAAAUAGACGUGACUAUUUAAAAAUUCUUUUUUAAAACAAUGGCCUUAGUCUGUUCUUAAAUAACAACAUUGUUUUAAUCACUUCCGUUCUGUAAUCGUGCUUCAGAUUGUGUUUGCCUGAUUUUUGUCUACGUAAUGGUAACAAAACUGUAAUGUUAACAAAACGUAAAAAUGUUGUGACAAUGGAAAAGAAACUAGAAACAUUAGGUAGGAUUGAUAAAGGCGAAUUUUUAAAAUAAAUUUAUUGCAGCAUCAUAAUAUGAUAUUAUGAUACCAUAGGUCUGGAUCCCGCGUAUGAAAAAAAGUUCAUUAAUAGCAAGCUAAAAAUUUGUUAAUAGCUUAAGGGUGUCUAGUCGGAUAAACUUUGAUAUAUGAGAACACUGGAACAGGGGCAGUUUUAAUUGUGGAACAGGUAAAAAAUCUGGAACGGUCAGAACACGAAAAUGGCACAUUUGUUUUGUCCGACAGAACAGACAUAAACUCUCCGAACAGAGAUUAAACUCUCAUGCAAAAAUCAGACUGCUAUUUAUCACCUGUCAUAAUUCCUGUCAUUUGACAUAUUCUACAUGUUCCACUCAUUAAAACGCCAAUUUGGUGAUAAAUAGCAGUCUGAUUUUUGCAUGAGAGUUUAAUCUCUGUUCGGAGAGUUUAAGUCUGUUCUGUCGGACAAAAUACAUGUGCCGUUUUCGUGGUCUGACCGUUCCAAAUUUUUAGCCUGUUCCACAGUUAAAACUUCCCCUGUUCCAGUGUUCCCAUAUAUUAAUGUUUGUCCGACUAGACACCCUUAAGCUAAUAACAAAUUUUCAGCUUGCUAUUUAUCAACUUUUUUUUCGUACGCGGGAUCCAGACCUACCAUAUUAUGGUGUCGGUACAUCUCUACAGUAUGACUGAGUUUUUUACCAAGAAAUGAACAAAACUCUACACUCUAUACAACUAUACGUAAUUUAGAUGUGUACUGUGCAUAUGUGUUUCAUGUUUUUGUAAUUAUAAUGGAGGUUAUUUAUUAAUUUUUACUAUAUUCUCCGGCUAACCCGGAUUUUCGAUAACCCGGAUCGGCCGCGGUCCCGAUUAAUCCGGGUUAUCGAGGUUCCACUGUAUUUGUGGUAUAAAAUUGUGUGUAUAAAAUUUUAUGAGUUUGUAAGGUUUUACAGUUAAGUUUUGAAUCCAUCUUUUGAAUAUCUACUUCUUAUUGGAUUUGGUAAUAUCCCUCUCUCCUAUCUCACUAUACUUACACAAAGUGAAUCUCUUAAAAAAAUUUGAUAAAUGAGCUCUGAGCUUCAUUUACAAUUUCGUCUUUAAGCUAUUGCGCAUCUCUACCUCGCGUAACUCGAUUUAUGUUAGCCAGGUAGUAAUUCAAUUUAAAAUUUUAAAUCUUCCUGUAUAUAUAUUAUAUUAUUGAUUGUUUUAUAUUUAUAAUACAUAAUUUGUAAAUAAAUAUUUAUUGUAUCUA
This 3516-nucleotide unclassified non-coding RNA is filed under the name Diabrotica virgifera virgifera (western corn rootworm). Its description in RNAcentral is "zinc finger protein 888-like". Lineage: Eukaryota; Metazoa; Arthropoda; Insecta; Coleoptera; Chrysomelidae. The record is from RNAcentral.